GCCUGGCUGGCUCAGUCAGUAGAACACGUGAUUCUUAAUCUCAGGGUCAUGAGUUCAAACCCCAUGUUGGGCG
Molecule: transfer RNA, 73 nt
Filed under: Felis catus (domestic cat)
Lineage: Eukaryota; Metazoa; Chordata; Mammalia; Carnivora; Felidae
Rfam family: tRNA
About the family: Transfer RNA (tRNA) molecules are approximately 80 nucleotides in length. Their secondary structure includes four short double-helical elements and three loops (D, anti-codon, and T loops). Further hydrogen bonds mediate the characteristic L-shaped molecular structure. tRNAs have two regions of fundamental functional importance: the anti-codon, which is responsible for specific mRNA codon recognition, and the 3' end, to which the tRNAs corresponding amino acid is attached (by aminoacyl-tRNA synthetases). tRNAs cope with the degeneracy of the genetic code in two manners: having more than one tRNA (with a specific anti-codon) for a particular amino acid; and 'wobble' base-pairing, i.e. permitting non-standard base-pairing at the 3rd anti-codon position.
Source: Rfam by way of RNAcentral